RNAcentral lists this ribosomal RNA (654 nucleotides) under uncultured archaeon. Its description in RNAcentral is "bacterial SSU rRNA". It matches the Rfam family "Archaeal small subunit ribosomal RNA", at positions 508 to 1160 of the family's 1478-position model. The record is from RNAcentral.
GCCUAAAGCGUCCGUAGCCGGCUUUGUAAGUUUUCGGUUAAAUCUAUAUGCUCAACAUAUAGGCUGCCGGGAAUACUGCAAAGCUAGGGAGUGGGAGAGGUAGACGGUACUCCGUAGGAAGGGGUAAAAUCCUUUGAUCUAUGGAUGACCACCUGUGGCGAAGGCGGUCUACCAGAACACGUUCGACGGUGAGGGAUGAAAGCUGGGGGAGCAAACCGGAUUAGAUACCCGGGUAGUCCCAGCUGUAAACUAUGCAAACUCAGUGAUGCAUUGGCUUGUGGCCAGUGCAGUGCCGCAGGGAAGCCGUUAAGUUUGCCGCCUGGGAAGUACGUACGCAAGUAUGAAACUUAAAGGAAUUGGCGGGGGAGCACCACAAGGGGUGAAGCCUGCGGUUCAAUUGGAGUCAACGCCAGAAAUCUUACCCGGAGAGACAGCAGGAUGAAGGUCAAGCUGAAGACUUUACCAGACAAGCUGAGAAGUGGUGCAUGGCCGUCGCCAGCUCGUGCCGUGAGGUGUCCUGUUAAGUCAGGUAACGAGCGAGAUCCUUGCCUCUAGUUGCUACCAUUACUCUCAGGAGUAGUGGAGCGAAUUAGCGGGACUGCCGUAGUUAAUACGGAGGAAGGAGAGGGCCACGGCAGGUCAGUAUGCCCCGAA